CCUACGGGUGGCUGCAGUGAGGAAUAUUGGUCAAUGGACGAGCGUCUGAACCAGCCAAGUCGCGUGAAGGAUGACUGCCCUAUGGGUUGUAAACUUCUUUUAUAAAGGAAUAAAACGAGGCACGUGUGCCUUUUUGCAUGUACUUUAUGAAAAAGGAUCGGCUAACUCCGUGCCAGCAGCCGCGGUAAUACGGGGGAUCCGGGCGUUAUCCGGAUUUAUUGGGUUUAAAGGGUGCGUAGGCGGGCUUUUAAGUCAGCGGUAAAAAUUCGGGGCUCAACCCCGUCCGGCCGUUGAAACUGGGGGCCUUGAGUGGGCGAGAAGUAUGCGGAAUGCGUGGUGUAGCGGUGAAAUGCAUAGAUAUCACGCAGAACCCCGAUUGCGAAGGCAGCCUUCCGGCGCCCUACUGACGCUGAGGCACGAAAGUGCGGGGAUCGAACAGGAUUAGAUACCCCAGUAGUC
This 459-nucleotide ribosomal RNA is filed under the name uncultured bacterium. RNAcentral describes it as "partial 16S ribosomal RNA". It matches the Rfam family "Bacterial small subunit ribosomal RNA", at positions 338 to 795 of the family's 1533-position model. The record is from RNAcentral.